GACGAACGCUGGCGGCGUGCCUAAUACAUGCAAGUCGAACGCAGUGGGGACGGGUGAGUAACACGUGGGUAACCUCCCAUCAGAGGGGAUAACACUUGGAAACAGGUGCUAAACCGAUACUGAUGGAUGGACCCGCGGUGCAUUAGCUAGUUGGUGAGGUAACGGCUGCCCAAGGGCACGAUGCAUAGCCGACCUGGGAGGGUGACCGGCCACACUGGGACUGAGCCACGGCCCAUACUCCUACGGGCGGCAGCAGUAGGGAAUCUUCGGCAAUGGACGAAAGUCUGACCGAGCCAAGGCGCUUGAGUGAAGAAGGUUUUCGGAUCGUAAAAAGCUGUUGUUAGAGAAGCGGUAUCUAACCAGAAAGCCACGGCUAACUACGUGCCAGCAGCCGCGGUAAUUC
Molecule: ribosomal RNA, 403 nt
Filed under: uncultured bacterium
Lineage: Bacteria
Description: partial 16S ribosomal RNA
Rfam family: Bacterial small subunit ribosomal RNA
Source: RNAcentral